UGCACCAUUAGCUCGGUUGGUAGAGCAACUGACUCUUAAUCAGUGGGUCCUGGGUUCGAGUCCCCGAUGGUGCAU
Molecule: transfer RNA, 75 nt
Filed under: Firmicutes bacterium ADurb.BinA205
Lineage: Bacteria; Bacillati; Bacillota
Description: tRNA-Lys
Rfam family: tRNA
About the family: Transfer RNA (tRNA) molecules are approximately 80 nucleotides in length. Their secondary structure includes four short double-helical elements and three loops (D, anti-codon, and T loops). Further hydrogen bonds mediate the characteristic L-shaped molecular structure. tRNAs have two regions of fundamental functional importance: the anti-codon, which is responsible for specific mRNA codon recognition, and the 3' end, to which the tRNAs corresponding amino acid is attached (by aminoacyl-tRNA synthetases). tRNAs cope with the degeneracy of the genetic code in two manners: having more than one tRNA (with a specific anti-codon) for a particular amino acid; and 'wobble' base-pairing, i.e. permitting non-standard base-pairing at the 3rd anti-codon position.
Source: RNAcentral